This 776-nucleotide ribosomal RNA is filed under the name uncultured Neocallimastigales. Its description in RNAcentral is "partial large subunit ribosomal RNA". It matches the Rfam family "Eukaryotic large subunit ribosomal RNA", at positions 23 to 616 of the family's 3401-position model. The record is from RNAcentral. Lineage: Eukaryota; Fungi; Neocallimastigomycota; Neocallimastigomycetes; Neocallimastigales.
AGAGAGAGACAUGCGCGCAUAUCAAUAAGCGGAGGAAAAGAAACUAACAAGGAUUCCCCUAGUAACGGCGAGUGAAGCGGGAAGAGCUCAAAUUUGAAAUCUUAAAGGGUUUCCCUUUACGAAUUGUAGUUUAAAGAAGUGUUUUCUGUUGAGGUUUUGGUAAAAGUUCUUUGGAAUAGGACAUCAUAGAGGGUGAGAAUCCCGUAUUUGACCUUUACUUUCAACUUUGUGAUACACUUUCAAAGAGUCGGAUUGUUUGGGAAUGCAGUCCAAAAUGGGUGGUAAAUUUCAUCUAAAGCUAAAUAUUGGCGAGAGACCGAUAGCGAACAAGUACCGUGAGGGAAAGAUGAAAAGAACUUUGAAAAGAGAGUUAAACAGUACGUGAAAGUUGUCAAAAGGGAAGCGUUUGACACCAGUGUUGUUUUUCUGAAAAUCAAUUAAAGAACUGUUUAUGCUAAGCUGUUUAGACUUUAUCAGCUAACUGUUUAGUUUUGAGCUUUUCUUUAAUGCACUUUUCAGUUAACAAGUCAACAUCAAUUUCUUUUGCUGUAAAAAAGCUUGAGGAAGGUGGCUUGAGAUUCGUCUUAAGUGUUUAUAGCCUCUUGCCUAUGCAGUCGGAGAGAUUGAGGUCUGCAGGCGUAGAUCCUUCGGGGCUAAAUGCAUUUGUGCUAAGUUAUAGCAUUUUAUAGACAACUUGUUGACUAUGAUUUGUCUUGUAGCUUACUCGCUUAUGUUAUUUUACCUACGCUUAGGAUGUUGAGCGCAUGUCUCUCUCU